CGGGAUGUGAUUCAGUGGUCUAGAAGCCGUGAUUUGGGGUCACGGAGUCGUAGGUUCAAAUCCUACCAUCCCGACCA
This 77-nucleotide transfer RNA is filed under the name Calothrix sp. PCC 7507. RNAcentral's name for it is "tRNA-Pro (TGG) (tRNA-Pro-TGG-2-1)". It matches the Rfam family "tRNA". Rfam says of the family: Transfer RNA (tRNA) molecules are approximately 80 nucleotides in length. The record is from RNAcentral. Lineage: Bacteria; Bacillati; Cyanobacteriota; Cyanophyceae; Nostocales; Calotrichaceae.